AACGAACGCUGGCGGCAUGCCUAACACAUGCAAGUCGAACGAGACCUUCGGGUCUAGUGGCGCACGGGUGCGUAACGCGUGGGAACCUGCCCUUAGGUUCGGAAUAACUCCCCGACAGGGGUGCUAAUACCGGAUAAUGUCUUCGGACCAAAGAUUUAUCGCCUUUGGAUGGGCCCGCGUUGGAUUAGCUAGUUGGUAGGGUAAAAGCCUACCAAGGCGACGAUCCAUAGCUGGUCUGAGAGGAUGAUCAGCCACACUGGGACUGAGACACGGCCCAGACUCCUACGGGAGGCAGCAGUGGGUAAUAUUGGACAAUGGGCGAAAGCCUGAUCCAGCAAUGCCGCGUGAGUGAUGAAGGCCUUAGGGUUGUAAAGCUCUUUUAACCGGGAUGAUAAUGACAGUACCGGGAGAAUAAGCUCCGGCUAACUCCGUG
This 433-nucleotide ribosomal RNA is filed under the name uncultured bacterium. RNAcentral describes it as "partial 16S ribosomal RNA". It matches the Rfam family "Bacterial small subunit ribosomal RNA", at positions 29 to 507 of the family's 1533-position model. The record is from RNAcentral.